Molecule: non-coding RNA, 30 nt
Filed under: Mus musculus (house mouse)
Lineage: Eukaryota; Metazoa; Chordata; Mammalia; Rodentia; Muridae
Source: RNAcentral
CCCUCACACAGUCUAUUCUAAGUCUACUGG